This 30-nucleotide non-coding RNA is filed under the name Rattus norvegicus (Norway rat). The record is from RNAcentral. Lineage: Eukaryota; Metazoa; Chordata; Mammalia; Rodentia; Muridae.
UCCUAUGUCAUCUCUUGAUGCUCUCAGACC